This 253-nucleotide ribosomal RNA is filed under the name uncultured bacterium. RNAcentral describes it as "partial 16S ribosomal RNA". It matches the Rfam family "Bacterial small subunit ribosomal RNA", at positions 524 to 776 of the family's 1533-position model. The record is from RNAcentral.
UACGGGGGGGGCAAGCGUUGUUCGGAAUUACUGGGCGUAAAGGGCUCGUAGGCGGCCAACUAAGUCAUACGUGAAAUCCCUCGGCUUAACCGGGGAACUGCGUCUGAUACUGGAUGGCUUGAGUUCGGGAGAGGGAUGCGGAAUUCCUGGUGUAGAGGUGAAAUUCGUAGAUAUUGGGAAGAACACCGGUGGCGAAGGCGGCUCGCUGGGCCAUUCCUGACGCUGAGACGCGAAAGCUAGGGGAGCGAACAGG